This 253-nucleotide ribosomal RNA is filed under the name uncultured bacterium. Its description in RNAcentral is "partial 16S ribosomal RNA". It matches the Rfam family "Bacterial small subunit ribosomal RNA", at positions 524 to 776 of the family's 1533-position model. The record is from RNAcentral.
CACGUAGGGCGCAAGCGUUGUCCGGAAUUACUGGGCGUAAAGCGUGCGUAGGCGGUUCGCUGUGUCCGAUGUGAAAGCCCCGGGCUUAACCUGGGAAUGGCAUUGGAAACUGGCGGGCUUGAGUGCGGCAGAGGGGGGUGGAAUUCCGCGUGUAGCAGUGAAAUGCGUAGAGAUGCGGAGGAACACCGAUGGCGAAGGCAGCCCCCUGGGUCGACACUGACGCUCAGGCACGAAAGCGUGGGGAGCAAACAGG